This 463-nucleotide ribosomal RNA is filed under the name uncultured bacterium. Its description in RNAcentral is "partial 16S ribosomal RNA". It matches the Rfam family "Bacterial small subunit ribosomal RNA", at positions 28 to 507 of the family's 1533-position model. The record is from RNAcentral.
GAUGAACGCUGACAGAAUGCUUAACACAUGCAAGUCGAUGGGGAAGUGGUGCUUGCACCCUGGCAACCAUGGCGGACGGGUGAGUAACGCGUAAGGGACUUACCUGCAGGACUGGGAUAACAGGGGGAAACUCCUGACAAGACCGGAUAAUGUCAUGUAGCUGCAUGGCUUUAUGAUGAAAGGAGACGCCUGCGGAGAGCCUUGCGUCCUAUUAGCUAGUUGGUGAGGUAAUGGCUCACCAAGGCGAAGAUAGGUAGCCGGCCUGAGAGGGUGGACGGCCACAAGGGGACUGAGAUACGGCCCUUACUCCUACGGGAGGCAGCAGUGGGGAAUAUUGGACAAUGGGGGCAACCCUGAUCCAGCAAUUCUGUGUGCACGAAGAAGGUUUUCGGAUUGUAAAGUGCUUUCAGCAGGGAAGAAGUAAGUGACGGUACCUGCAGAAGAAGCGACGGCUAAAUACGUG